GGGAUUGCCCUAGUAACGGCGAGUGAAGCGGCAACAGCUCAAAUUUGAAAUCUGGCGCAAGCCCGAGUUGUAAUUUGUAGAGGAUGCUUCUGGGUAGCGACCGAUCUAAGUUCCUUGGAACAGGACGUCAUAGAGGGUGAGAAUCCCGUAUGUGACCGGCCCGCACCCUUUACGUAGCUCCUUCGACGAGUCGAGUUGUUUGGGAAUGCAGCUCUAAAUGGGAGGUAAAUUUCUUCUAAAGCUAAAUACCGGCCAGAGACCGAUAGCGCACAAGUAGAGUGAUCGAAAGAUGAAAAGUACUUUGGAAAGAGAGUUAAAAAGCACGUGAAAUUGUUGAAAGGGAAGCGCCUGCAACCAGACUUCGCGGCAGUGUUCCGCCGGUCUUCUGACCGGUUCAUUCGCUGUCGCGAGGCCAUCAUCGUCUGGGCCCGCCGGAUAAGACCUUGGGAAUGUGGCUCACCUUCGGGGGAGUGUUAUAGCCCAGGGUGAUGCGGCGCGGCUCGGGCGAGGUCCGCGCUUCGGCAAGGAUGAUGGCGUAAUGGUUGUCGGCGGCCCGUCUUGAAACACGGACCAAGGAGUCUAACAUCUAUGCGAGUGUUCGGGUGUCAAACCCCUACGCGUAAUGAAAGUGAACGGAGGUGGGAACCGCAAGGUGCACCAUCGACCGAUCCUGAUGUCCUCGGAUGGAUUUGAGUAAGAGCAUAGCUGUUGGGACCCGAAAGAUGGUGAACUAUGCCUGAAUAGGGUGAAGCCAGAGGAAACUCUGGUGGAGGCUCGCAGCGGUUCUGACGUGCAAAUCGAUCGUCAAAUUUGGGUAUAGGGGCG
This 825-nucleotide ribosomal RNA is filed under the name Septoria dolichospora. Its description in RNAcentral is "eukaryotic LSU rRNA". It matches the Rfam family "Eukaryotic large subunit ribosomal RNA", at positions 71 to 925 of the family's 3401-position model. Lineage: Eukaryota; Fungi; Ascomycota; Dothideomycetes; Mycosphaerellales; Mycosphaerellaceae. The record is from RNAcentral.